GCUGACACAUCCCUGCCAAUCUCCGGCAGACCCUCCCUCCCAGACCCUCCUACUUCCUGGACAGCAUCCAUGUUGAAGGCAGCUUCAACAUGGAUGCUGUCCAGGAGGUGGGAGGGUCUGGGAGAGAGGGUCUGCUGGAGAUUGGCAGGGAUGUGUCAG
Non-coding RNA from Pelobates cultripes (western spadefoot toad), 159 nucleotides. NCBI's taxonomy places the organism in Eukaryota, Metazoa, Chordata, Amphibia, Anura, Pelobatidae. The record is from the annotation of a GenBank genome assembly.